AUCUUUUACAGUGUCACUGCGCUCACAGACCUCCGAUGGCUUCCAGGGCUCUCGUUGCUCUUUAGGGAGCUUAUCCAGCUGCUGAGCUUUCAGAAUCGGAGAUGCUCUGAAGGUUCCUCGCACGGCCAACAUAAGAUACCUGGAGAAAGAUACAUCUUUAUCCAGGAUUCCAAAAAGGAUGGGGGGCAUCGAGGUGAAAAAGAGGUUGAAGAAGAUCAUCUGCCAGUAAUCUAUCAUAGUGGUCCCUGAGAAGCCACAGAAGAACUGGUACCAGAAGAGCAGGCUGACGUAGCUCUGUGAGAGAAGUGAACAAAAACCACCAAACGAUGCAUUAUGAGUAGACAGUCCCAACAUUUCGAACUUGCAAGAAAAAUUGCUUUUGCUACCUAGCAAGGUGAGUUUGGUCUCCAGAUGCUGUGCUGUGUCCAUUAGCAGCUCAUCUCUGUUGUCAAUCGCUGCCUCUGCCUCACGACGAAAAUUGGCCCAUUUCCGAAAGUCAUCUUCACUCAAAACCUGUGCAACAGGGAUACAGGUCUGAACUGGACUGAGUCAAUGAGAAAGAUUGACCAAGGUUUGCUAAUUUUAGCCGUUGGAGCAGCUGGUGAAUCCUCUCCAAGGAGAUCCCUGAUGGUUUCAUCAGUGGUGGCGCUGUAACCUUGAGACAUGAGAAGACAUUGGGAACAUUACACCUGAAAUUAAACAAGAAUGGACCACACAGUGCUGCUUAUAUUCUUCUCCAGGAUCAGCAGACUCCAUUUUCAUUAACUCUAUCAAAUGCCACGAAAGAAACAACAUCAUCAUCUGUUUCCUUCUCAGGAUUACACUGACAGCAACAUAUUAAAUGAUGAAACCAUCUCAUAUUUCAACAAAACAGCAAAACCUGUCAAGCAUAGAUGCACUCACAAAACAUUCAAGCUUGGAUAAUUCUUGUAGCCACCUAGCUCCAUAAUCCUAAAACCUCUCAAGAUAUAGCGAUAAAGUGUAAAACCCAUACAAGAGGCAUUAGGAAAUGUCUGGGAACCCAACUGGGUUUGCGGAGGAGGCAGCCAAGCUAAUGGCUGGCACCUCCUUGUGGCGGAUGUCCAGUGCAGGUACUCCAUAGGGAAGGUAUACAGUGACCGGAUAAUGGGUUGGAAAAGGACUUAAAAAGAGGUGUCAAUAAAGGAGCGAAUGGGGGAUGGUUUGGGACCCCUAUGAUUGAUACGGCAGGGAGCUAACCCCCAUUAUUAUAGUCCACCUUAACCCUCCUAUGAGGUGGUGGUGAAAGGUAAGGUCCUGUCAAUGGAUUUGCUUGAGUGACCUGGGUGGAAAAAGAGGGGGAGCUGGUAAAAAGCCCCCUUGGUAAUUAUGAAAUAAAUAUGGGGUUACCUGCACUGCACACUUUUAUCUGCCAGGUAGUCCCAGACAUCUAAUAAUAAAGGUGAGGCCUGAUUAAACCCAUGUCAAAUAUCUGCUGUCUUUCUUUCGGUAUAGCCAGACAAUAGAGUACUAACAGUAUGAAAACAUUUAAAAGUAACUAAUGCAGACUGCUUAUCACCGAUUCAUGUAAGACCACUUUCCAGUUGGCUUUGCAAUCACAGUAUAAUAGAAGUGGUUGGAAACUUUUUGACAAAAACACUUUUUGUUGGAAAAUGCUGAUUCAUUACAGAAAUGCGUUGGUUAUAAUUAAACUUUGAUCAGGAAGAUGUUUUAGGUCCAGAAAGAACUGCUGAUGAGUGAAAGAGACCCAUUUGCCCCAGAAUAGCCUAUAGCAGGGGUCGCCAACUUGAGCCUGAGAAGGAGCCAGAAUUUACCAAUGUACAUUACCAAAGAGCCACAGUAAUACGUCAGCAGCCCCCCCAUCAGCACCCCUCCUCCGGUCCCAGAGCCUCCUGACCACCGGCAGCCCCACCGAUCAGCGCCUCCCGCUCCCUCCCCACACCU
This is a non-coding RNA of Chrysemys picta bellii (western painted turtle), 1923 nucleotides long. Lineage: Eukaryota; Metazoa; Chordata; Testudines; Emydidae. The record is from RefSeq and is a predicted model, not a curated record.